CAGAGAAUAGUUUUAAAAAAUAUUAAUUUUGGAAAUUAAAGAUAAAAGACUUUUCUUUUUUCUCUGA
This 67-nucleotide transfer RNA is filed under the name Euastacus spinifer. RNAcentral describes it as "tRNA-Pro". Lineage: Eukaryota; Metazoa; Arthropoda; Malacostraca; Decapoda; Parastacidae. The record is from RNAcentral.